AGGGUUCGAUUCUGGCUCAGGAUGAACGCUGGCGGCGUGCUUAACACAUGCAAGUCGAACGGAGUUUUAAACGGAAGUUUUCGGAUGGAAGUUUAAGAACUUAGUGGCGGACGGGUGAGUAACGCGUGGGUAACCUGCCUCAUACAGGGGGAUAACAGUUAGAAAUGACUGCUAACACCGCAUAAUAUAGUGAAACCGCAUGAUUUUGCUAUCAAAUAUUUAUAGGUAUGAGAUGGGCCCGCGUCUGAUUAGCUAGUUGGUGGGGUAAAAGCCUACCAAGGCGACGAUCAGUAGCCGGCUUGAGAGAGUGACCGGCCACAUUGGGACUGAGACACGGCCCAAACUCCUACGGGAGGCAGCAGUGGGGAAUAUUGGACAAUGGGGGAAACCCUGAUCCAGCGACGCCCGCGUGAGUGAAGAAGUAUUUCGGUAUGUAAAGCUCUAUCAGCAGGGAAGAUAAUGACAGUACCUGACUAAGAAGCCCCGGCUAACUACGUGCCAGCAGCUGC
This 509-nucleotide ribosomal RNA is filed under the name uncultured bacterium. RNAcentral's name for it is "bacterial SSU rRNA". It matches the Rfam family "Bacterial small subunit ribosomal RNA", at positions 8 to 518 of the family's 1533-position model. The record is from RNAcentral.